AUAGACAGAUAAAAAUAUCCAGAAAGAGUCCACUCUGCACCUGGUCCUCCGUCUCAGGGGUGGUAUGCAGAUCUUUGUGAAGACCCUGACAGGCAAGACCAUCACCCUGGAGGUGGAACCCAGUGAUACCAAGGAAAAUGUGACGGCAGGAUGCAGGAGUAAGAGGGCAUCCGAU
Peromyscus maniculatus bairdii (prairie deer mouse) is the source of this 175-nucleotide non-coding RNA. Lineage: Eukaryota; Metazoa; Chordata; Mammalia; Rodentia; Cricetidae. The record is from RefSeq and is a predicted model, not a curated record.